AGCUUGCUCCCAUUUCUCAGCGGCGGACGGGUGAGUAACACGUGGGCAACCUGCCCUGCAGACUGGGAUAACUCCGGGAAACCGGAGCUAAUACCGGGUAAUACAUAGCAUCGCAUGAUGCAACGUUGAAAGUUGGCCUUUGGCUAACACUGCAGGAUGGGCCCGCGGCGCAUUAGCUAGUUGGUAAGGUAACGGCUUACCAAGGCCACGAUGCGUAGCCGACCUGAGAGGGUGAUCGGCCACACUGGGACUGAGACACGGCCCAGACUCCUACGGGAGGCAGCAGUAGGGAAUCUUCCGCAAUGGACGAAAGUCUGACGGAGCAACGCCGCGUGAGUGACGAAGGCCUUCGGGUCGUAAAGCUCUGUUGUUAGGGAAGAACAAGUACCGUUCGAAUAGGGCGGUACCUUGACGGUACCUAACCAGAAAGCCACGGCUAACUACGUGCCAGCAGCCGCGGUAAUACGUAGGUGGCAAGCGUUGUCCGGAAUUAUUGGGCGUAAAGCGCGCGCAGGCGGUCUCUUAAGUCUGAUGUGAAAGCCCACGGCUCAACCGUGGAGGGCCAUUGGAAACUGGGGGACUUGAGUGCAGAAGAGGAGAGUGGAAUUCCACGUGUAGCGGUGAAAUGCGUAGAUAUGUGGAGGAACACCAGUGGCGAAGGCGGCUCUCUGGUCUGUAACUGACGCUGAAGCGCGAAAGCGUGGGGAGCGAACAGGAUUAGAUACCCUGGUAGUCCACGCCGUAAACGAUGAGUGCUAGGUGUUGGGGGCUUCCACCCUCAGUGCUGAAGUUAACACAUUAAGCACUCCGCCUGGGGAGUACGACCGCAAGGUUGAAACUCAAAGGAAUUGACGGGGGCCCGCACAAGCAGUGGAGCAUGUGGUUUAAUUCGAAGCAACGCGAAGAACCUUACCAGGUCUUGACAUCCUCUGCCACUCCUAGAGAUAGGACGUUCCCCUU
This 960-nucleotide ribosomal RNA is filed under the name Bacillus sp. (in: firmicutes). RNAcentral describes it as "bacterial SSU rRNA". It matches the Rfam family "Bacterial small subunit ribosomal RNA", at positions 77 to 1021 of the family's 1533-position model. The record is from RNAcentral. Lineage: Bacteria; Bacillati; Bacillota; Bacilli; Caryophanales; Bacillaceae.